GGCGAUAUGGCCGAGCGGUCUAAGGCGCCAGAAUCAGGACACUGUUCUAUCUGGUCUUCACGGGCGUGGGUUCGAAUCCCACUGUCGUCA
Transfer RNA from Trametes versicolor FP-101664 SS1, 90 nucleotides. It matches the Rfam family "tRNA". Rfam says of the family: Transfer RNA (tRNA) molecules are approximately 80 nucleotides in length. Their secondary structure includes four short double-helical elements and three loops (D, anti-codon, and T loops). Further hydrogen bonds mediate the characteristic L-shaped molecular structure. tRNAs have two regions of fundamental functional importance: the anti-codon, which is responsible for specific mRNA codon recognition, and the 3' end, to which the tRNAs corresponding amino acid is attached (by aminoacyl-tRNA synthetases). tRNAs cope with the degeneracy of the genetic code in two manners: having more than one tRNA (with a specific anti-codon) for a particular amino acid; and 'wobble' base-pairing, i.e. permitting non-standard base-pairing at the 3rd anti-codon position. The record is from Rfam. Lineage: Eukaryota; Fungi; Basidiomycota; Agaricomycetes; Polyporales; Polyporaceae.